UAGGGAAUCUUCGGCAAUGGACGAAAGUCUAACCGAGCAACGCCGCGUGAGUGAAGAAGGUUUUCGGAUCGUAAAACUCUGUUGGUAGAGAAGAACGUUGGUGAGAGUGGAAAGCUCAUCAAGUGACGGUAACUACCCAGAAAGGGACGGCUAACUACGUGCCAG
RNAcentral lists this ribosomal RNA (165 nucleotides) under uncultured bacterium. RNAcentral's name for it is "partial 16S rRNA". It matches the Rfam family "Bacterial small subunit ribosomal RNA", at positions 355 to 511 of the family's 1533-position model. The record is from RNAcentral.